GGGCGUAAAGCGCAUGCAGGUGGUUUGUUAAGUCAGAUGUGAAAGCCCGGGGCUCAACCUCGGAACUGCAUUUGAAACUGGCAGACUAGAGUACUGUAGAGGGGGGUAGAAUUUCA
Molecule: ribosomal RNA, 116 nt
Filed under: uncultured Vibrio sp.
Lineage: Bacteria; Pseudomonadati; Pseudomonadota; Gammaproteobacteria; Vibrionales; Vibrionaceae
Description: partial 16S ribosomal RNA
Rfam family: Bacterial small subunit ribosomal RNA
Source: RNAcentral